Molecule: small RNA, 102 nt
Filed under: Salmonella enterica subsp. enterica serovar Berta
Lineage: Bacteria; Pseudomonadati; Pseudomonadota; Gammaproteobacteria; Enterobacterales; Enterobacteriaceae
Also listed under: 4 other names
Description: partial RtT sRNA
Rfam family: RtT RNA
About the family: This family represents a bacterial cis-regulatory element known as RtT RNA. The exact function of RtT is unknown although it is thought that it may be involved in changing the cellular response in relation to amino acid starvation.
Source: RNAcentral
CUUCGACUAAGGUUCGAUUCGAGCGCAGCGAGAAAGCGUUGCCGCAGGCAACGACCCGAAGGGCGAAGCGCGCAGCGCUGAGUCAUCCUUCCCCCACCACCA